CAGUAGCCACGGUAAUACGAAGGGUGCAAGCGUUAAUCGGAAUUACUGGGCGUAAAGCGUGCGUAGGCGGUGAGUUAAGUCUGCUGUGAAAUCCCCGGGCUCAACCUGGGAAUGGCAGUGGAUACUGGCUCGCUAGAGUGUGUCAGAGGAUGGUGGAAUUCCCGGUGUAGCGGUGAAAUGCGUAGAGAUCGGGAGGAACAUCAGUGGCGAAGGCGGCCAUCUGGGACAACACUGACGCUGAGGCACGAAAGCGUGGGGAGCAAACAGGAUUAGAUACCCCGGUAGUCCCUGUCUCUUAUAA
This 301-nucleotide ribosomal RNA is filed under the name uncultured bacterium. Its description in RNAcentral is "partial 16S ribosomal RNA". It matches the Rfam family "Bacterial small subunit ribosomal RNA", at positions 509 to 809 of the family's 1533-position model. The record is from RNAcentral.